RNAcentral lists this ribosomal RNA (2906 nucleotides) under Escherichia coli. Its description in RNAcentral is "23S ribosomal RNA". It matches the Rfam family "Bacterial large subunit ribosomal RNA". Lineage: Bacteria; Pseudomonadati; Pseudomonadota; Gammaproteobacteria; Enterobacterales; Enterobacteriaceae. The record is from RNAcentral.
GGUUAAGCGACUAAGCGUACACGGUGGAUGCCCUGGCAGUCAGAGGCGAUGAAGGACGUGCUAAUCUGCGAUAAGCGUCGGUAAGGUGAUAUGAACCGUUAUAACCGGCGAUUUCCGAAUGGGGAAACCCAGUGUGAUUCGUCACACUAUCAUUAACUGAAUCCAUAGGUUAAUGAGGCGAACCGGGGGAACUGAAACAUCUAAGUACCCCGAGGAAAAGAAAUCAACCGAGAUUCCCCCAGUAGCGGCGAGCGAACGGGGAGCAGCCCAGAGCCUGAAUCAGUGUGUGUGUUAGUGGAAGCGUCUGGAAAGGCGUGCGAUACAGGGUGACAGCCCCGUACACAAAAAUGCACAUACUGUGAGCUCGAUGAGUAGGGCGGGACACGUGGUAUCCUGUCUGAAUAUGGGGGGACCAUCCUCCAAGGCUAAAUACUCCUGACUGACCGAUAGUGAACCAGUACCGUGAGGGAAAGGCGAAAAGAACCCCGGCGAGGGGAGUGAAAAAGAACCUGAAACCGUGUACGUACAAGCAGUGGGAGCACAGAGCAAUCUGUGUGACUGCGUACCUUUUGUAUAAUGGGUCAGCGACUUAUAUUCUGUAGCAAGGUUAACCGAAUAGGGGAGCCGAAGGGAAACCGAGUCUUAACUGGGCGUUAAGUUGCAGGGUAUAGACCCGAAACCCGGUGAUCUAGCCAUGGGCAGGUUGAAGGUUGGGUAACACUAACUGGAGGACCGAACCGACUAAUGUUGAAAAAUUAGCGGAUGACUUGUGGCUGGGGGUGAAAGGCCAAUCAAACCGGGAGAUAGCUGGUUCUCCCCGAAAGCUAUUUAGGUAGCGCCUCGUGAAUUCAUCUCCGGGGGUAGAGCACUGUUUCGGCAAGGGGGUCAUCCCGACUUACCAACCCGAUGCAAACUGCGAAUACCGGAGAAUGUUAUCACGGGAGACACACGGCGGGUGCUAACGUCCGUCGUGAAGAGGGAAACAACCCAGACCGCCAGCUAAGGUCCCAAAGUCAUGGUUAAGUGGGAAACGAUGUGGGAAGGCCCAGACAGCCAGGAUGUUGGCUUAGAAGCAGCCAUCAUUUAAAGAAAGCGUAAUAGCUCACUGGUCGAGUCGGCCUGCGCGGAAGAUGUAACGGGGCUAAACCAUGCACCGAAGCUGCGGCAGCGACGCUUAUGCGUUGUUGGGUAGGGGAGCGUUCUGUAAGCCUGUGAAGGUGUACUGUGAGGUAUGCUGGAGGUAUCAGAAGUGCGAAUGCUGACAUAAGUAACGAUAAAGCGGGUGAAAAGCCCGCUCGCCGGAAGACCAAGGGUUCCUGUCCAACGUUAAUCGGGGCAGGGUGAGUCGACCCCUAAGGCGAGGCCGAAAGGCGUAGUCGAUGGGAAACAGGUUAAUAUUCCUGUACUUGGUGUUACUGCGAAGGGGGGACGGAGAAGGCUAUGUUGGCCGGGCGACGGUUGUCCCGGUUUAAGCGUGUAGGCUGGUUUUCCAGGCAAAUCCGGAAAAUCAAGGCUGAGGCGUGAUGACGAGGCACUACGGUGCUGAAGCAACAAAUGCCCUGCUUCCAGGAAAAGCCUCUAAGCAUCAGGUAACAUCAAAUCGUACCCCAAACCGACACAGGUGGUCAGGUAGAGAAUACCAAGGCGCUUGAGAGAACUCGGGUGAAGGAACUAGGCAAAAUGGUGCCGUAACUUCGGGAGAAGGCACGCUGAUAUGUAGGUGAAGUCCCUCGCGGAUGGAGCUGAAAUCAGUCGAAGAUACCAGCUGGCUGCAACUGUUUAUUAAAAACACAGCACUGUGCAAACACGAAAGUGGACGUAUACGGUGUGACGCCUGCCCGGUGCCGGAAGGUUAAUUGAUGGGGUUAGCGCAAGCGAAGCUCUUGAUCGAAGCCCCGGUAAACGGCGGCCGUAACUAUAACGGUCCUAAGGUAGCGAAAUUCCUUGUCGGGUAAGUUCCGACCUGCACGAAUGGCGUAAUGAUGGCCAGGCUGUCUCCACCCGAGACUCAGUGAAAUUGAACUCGCUGUGAAGAUGCAGUGUACCCGCGGCAAGACGGAAAGACCCCGUGAACCUUUACUAUAGCUUGACACUGAACAUUGAGCCUUGAUGUGUAGGAUAGGUGGGAGGCUUUGAAGUGUGGACGCCAGUCUGCAUGGAGCCGACCUUGAAAUACCACCCUUUAAUGUUUGAUGUUCUAACGUUGACCCGUAAUCCGGGUUGCGGACAGUGUCUGGUGGGUAGUUUGACUGGGGCGGUCUCCUCCUAAAGAGUAACGGAGGAGCACGAAGGUUGGCUAAUCCUGGUCGGACAUCAGGAGGUUAGUGCAAUGGCAUAAGCCAGCUUGACUGCGAGCGUGACGGCGCGAGCAGGUGCGAAAGCAGGUCAUAGUGAUCCGGUGGUUCUGAAUGGAAGGGCCAUCGCUCAACGGAUAAAAGGUACUCCGGGGAUAACAGGCUGAUACCGCCCAAGAGUUCAUAUCGACGGCGGUGUUUGGCACCUCGAUGUCGGCUCAUCACAUCCUGGGGCUGAAGUAGGUCCCAAGGGUAUGGCUGUUCGCCAUUUAAAGUGGUACGCGAGCUGGGUUUAGAACGUCGUGAGACAGUUCGGUCCCUAUCUGCCGUGGGCGCUGGAGAACUGAGGGGGGCUGCUCCUAGUACGAGAGGACCGGAGUGGACGCAUCACUGGUGUUCGGGUUGUCAUGCCAAUGGCACUGCCCGGUAGCUAAAUGCGGAAGAGAUAAGUGCUGAAAGCAUCUAAGCACGAAACUUGCCCCGAGAUGAGUUCUCCCUGAGACUUUAAGUCUCCUGAAGGAACGUUGAAGACGACGACGUUGAUAGGCCGGGUGUGUAAGCGCAGCGAUGCGUUGAGCUAACCGGUACUAAUGAACCGUGAGGCUUAACCUU